AUUGAACGCUGGCGGCGUGCCUAACACAUGCAAGUCGAGCGGUAACAGGUGUAGCAAUACAUGCUGACGAGCGGCGGACGGGUGAGUAACGCUUGGGAAUCUGCCUAUUAGUGGGGGACAACCCGGGGAAACUCGGGCUAAUACCGCAUACGCACUACGGUGGAAAGCCGGGGACCGCAAGGCCUGGCGCUAACAGAUGAGCCCAAGUCGGAUUAGCUAGUUGGUAGGGUAACGGCCACCAAGGCGACGAUCCGUAACUGGUCUGAGAGGACGACCAGUCACACCGGAACUGAGACACGGUCCGGACUCCUACGGGAGGCAGCAGUGGGGAAUAUUGGACAAUGGGCGAAAGCCUGAUCCAGCGACGCCGCGUGGGUGAAGAAGGCCUGCGGGUUGUAAAGCCCUUUCAGUGGGGAAGAAAAGCCUCGAGCUAACACCUCGGGGUCUUGACGUAACCCAUAGAAGAAGCACCGGCUAACUCUGUGCCAGCAGCCG
RNAcentral lists this ribosomal RNA (495 nucleotides) under uncultured bacterium. RNAcentral's name for it is "bacterial SSU rRNA". It matches the Rfam family "Bacterial small subunit ribosomal RNA", at positions 29 to 517 of the family's 1533-position model. The record is from RNAcentral.